Long non-coding RNA from Carya illinoinensis, 317 nucleotides. RefSeq lists it as uncharacterized. NCBI's taxonomy places the organism in Eukaryota, Viridiplantae, Streptophyta, Magnoliopsida, Fagales, Juglandaceae. The transcript has 4 exons. The record is from RefSeq and is a predicted model, not a curated record.
UUUUAGAUUUCACCAUCAAAGAGUACCACUGGUAAUUCUUGUAUGUGGAACUGCUUGUGUUGGAAAGUCUACCAUUGCUACCCAACUGGCACAAAGGCUAAAUUUGCCAAAUGUCCUACAGACCGAUAUGGUAUAUGAAUUGCUACGAACAGCGACAGAUGCACCAUUGGCGUCUACUCCUGUAUGGGCUCGAGACUUCAGCUCCUCUGAGGAGUUAAUCACUGAAUUUUGUAGAGAAUGCAUAAUUGUUCGUAAAGGUUUGGCUGGUGAUUUGAAGAAGGCUAUGAAAGAUGGGAAACCAAUUAUAAUUGAGGUAU